Molecule: ribosomal RNA, 1519 nt
Filed under: Salmonella enterica subsp. enterica
Lineage: Bacteria; Pseudomonadati; Pseudomonadota; Gammaproteobacteria; Enterobacterales; Enterobacteriaceae
Description: bacterial SSU rRNA
Rfam family: Bacterial small subunit ribosomal RNA
Source: RNAcentral
AUUGAAAAGAGUUUGAUCGCGAAACCAGAUUGAACGCUGGCGGCAGGCCUAACACAUGCAAGUCGAACGGUAACAGGAAGCAGCUUGCUGCUUCGCUGACGAAGAUGGCGGACGGGUGAGUAAUGUCUGGGAAACUUUGCCUGAUGGAGGGAUAACUACUGGAAACGGUGGCUAGCCGCCGCAUAACGUCGCAAGACCAAGAGGACCUUCGGGCUCUUUACCAUCAGAUGGCCCAGAUGGGAUUGCUUGUUGGUGGUAACGGCUCACCAAAGGCGACAAUCUAGCUGGUCUGAGAAGGAUGACCAGCCACACUGGAACUGAGACACGGUCCGGGCUCCUACGGGAGGGCAGCAGUGGGGAAUAUUGCAAUGGGCGCAAGCCUGAUGCAACCAUGCCGCGUGUAUGAAGAAGGCCUUCGGGUUGUAAAGUACUUUCAGCGAGAGGGGAGGAAGGUGUUGUGGUUAAUAACCGCAGCAAUUGACGUUACUCGCGAAGAAGCACCGGCUAACUCGUAGCCGCGGUAAUACGGAGGGUGCAAGCGUUAAUCAGCCACUGGGCGUAAAGCGCACGCAGGCGGUCUGUCCAAGUCGGAUGUGAAAUCCCCGGGCUCCAACUUUUGGGAACUGCAUUCGAAACUGGCAGGCGAGUCUUGUAGAGGGGUAGAAUUCCGAGGUGUGGUGAAAUGCGUAGAGAUGCGGAGGAAUACCGGUGGCGAAGGCGGCCCCGGACGGAGCUGACUCAGGUGCAGCGUAAGGGUAAACAGGAUUGGAAAUACGCGGCCAGUCACGCCGUAAGCGAUACUACUUGGAGGUUGUGCCCGCGGGGCGUGGCUUCCGGGCUAACGCGUUAAGUAGACCGCACGCGGGAGUACGGCGCAGGUUAAAACUCAAAUGAAUUGACGGGGGCCGCACAAGCGGUGGAGCAUGUGGUUUAAUUCGAUGCAACGCGGGAGCCUUACACGAAUACUGACAUCCACGGAAGUUUUCAGAGAUGAGAAUGUGCCUUCGGGAACCGUGAGACAGGUGCUGCAUGGCUGUCGUCAGCUCGUGUUGUGAAAUGUUGGGUUAGGGUCCGCAACGAGCGCAACCCUUAUCAGCACUUGUUGCCAGCGGUCCGGCCGGGAGGAACUCAAGGAACUGCCAGUGAUGAAGCACUGGAGGAAGGUGGGGACGUCAAGUCAUCAUGGCCCGCACCCGACGAGGGCUACACGAUGCUACAAUGGCGCAUACAAGAGAAGCGACUUCGCCUUGAGAGCAAGCGGACCUCAUAAAGUGCGUCAUGUAGUCGGAUUGGAGUCUGCGCUCGACUCCAUGAAGAGGUCGGAAUCGCUAGUAAUCGUGGAUCAGAAUGCCACGGUGAAUACGUUCCCGGGCGCUUGUACACACCGCCCGUCACCAUGGGAGUGGGUUGCAAAAGUAGGUAGCUUAACCUUCGGGAGGCGCUUACCACUUGUGAUUCAUGACUGGGGUAAGUCGUAACAAAGGUAACCGUAGGGAACACCGGUUGGAUCACCUCCUUA